This 207-nucleotide ribosomal RNA is filed under the name uncultured bacterium. Its description in RNAcentral is "partial 16S ribosomal RNA". It matches the Rfam family "Bacterial small subunit ribosomal RNA", at positions 568 to 774 of the family's 1533-position model. The record is from RNAcentral.
CGCGUAGGCGGACUAUUAAGUCAGGGGUGAAAUCCCGGGGCUCAACCCCGGAACUGCCUUUGAUACUGGUAGUCUUGAGUUCGAGAGAGGUGAGUGGAAUUCCGAGUGUAGAGGUGAAAUUCGUAGAUAUUCGGAGGAACACCAGUGGCGAAGGCGGCUCACUGGCUCGAUACUGACGCUGAGGUGCGAAAGCGUGGGGAGCAAACA